RNAcentral lists this ribosomal RNA (375 nucleotides) under Enterobacter cloacae. RNAcentral's name for it is "bacterial SSU rRNA". It matches the Rfam family "Bacterial small subunit ribosomal RNA", at positions 125 to 495 of the family's 1533-position model. The record is from RNAcentral. Lineage: Bacteria; Pseudomonadati; Pseudomonadota; Gammaproteobacteria; Enterobacterales; Enterobacteriaceae.
ACUGCCUGUGGGGGGGGGAUUACUACUGGGAACGGUAACUAAUACCACAUACUGUCGCAAAACCAAAGAGGGGGACCUUCCGGCCUCUUGCCAUCGAAUGUGCCCAGAUGGGAUUAGCUAGUAGGUGGGGUAACGGCUCACGUAACCAACCAUCCCUGGCUGGUCUGAAAGGAUGACCACCCACACUGGAACUGACACACGGUCCACACUCCUACGGGAGGCAUGGGUGGGGAAUAUUGCACAAUGGGCGCAAGCCUGAUGCAUCCAUGCCGCGUGUAUAAAGAAGGCCUUCUGGUUGUAAAUUACUUUCAGCGGGAAGGAAGGUGUUGUGGUUAAUAACCGUUUUAUUUUACCUUACCCACUAAAGAAGCACCG